This 432-nucleotide ribosomal RNA is filed under the name marine sediment metagenome. RNAcentral's name for it is "SSU rRNA". It matches the Rfam family "Bacterial small subunit ribosomal RNA", at positions 8 to 414 of the family's 1533-position model. The record is from RNAcentral.
AGAGUUUGAUCCCAGCUCAGGAUGAACGCUGGCGGUGUGCCUAACACAUGCAAGUCGUGCGAUCGAGCUAGACUGAUCACCCUUCGGGGUGUGAAGACUAGUGACGGAGCGGCGGACUGGUGAGUAACACGUGGCUAACCUACCUUCUUGACGGGGAUAACUAUUCGAAAGAAUAGCUAAUACCCGAUAUUGCUGAAGAUCGAUGGAUCUUCAGCCAAAGGCGGCCUAGUCGUCACAAGAGGAUGGGGCUGCGCCCUAUUAGCUUGUUGGUAAGGUAAUGGCUUACCAAGGCAAUGAUGGGUAGCUGGUCUGAGAGGAUGAUCAGCCACAUUGGGACUGAGAUACGGCCCAGACUCCUACGGGAGGCAGCAGUGGGGAAUAUUUCACAAUGGGCGAAAGCCUGAUGGAGCAACACCGCGUGGGGGAUGAAUG